Molecule: ribosomal RNA, 292 nt
Filed under: uncultured bacterium
Lineage: Bacteria
Description: partial 16S ribosomal RNA
Source: RNAcentral
GGACUACUGGGGUAUCUAAUCCUGUUCGCUCCCCACGCUUUCGCUCCUCAGCGUCAGAACAGGCCCAGAGAACCGCCUUCGCCACCGGUGUUCCUCCCGAUAUCUGCGCAUUUCACCGCUACACCGGGAAUUCCGUUCUCCCCUACCUGCCUCUAGCCUGCCCGUAUCCACCGCAGACCUGGAGUUAAGCCCCAAGCUUUCACGACAGACGCGACAAACCACCUACGAGCUCUUUACGCCCAAUAAAUCCGGACAACGCUUGCGCCCUACGUAUUACCGCGGCUGCUGGCAC